This 427-nucleotide ribosomal RNA is filed under the name uncultured bacterium. Its description in RNAcentral is "partial 16S ribosomal RNA". It matches the Rfam family "Bacterial small subunit ribosomal RNA", at positions 355 to 774 of the family's 1533-position model. The record is from RNAcentral.
UGGGGAAUAUUGCACAAUGGGCGCAAGCCUGAUGCAGCCAUGCCGCGUGUAUGAAGAAGGCCUUCGGGUUGUAAAGUACUUUCAGCGAGGAGGAAGGCGUUGUGGUUAAUAUCCGCAACGAUUGACGUUACUCGCAGAAGAAGCACCGGCUAACUCCGUGCCAGCAGCCGCGGUAAUACGGAGGGUGCAAGCGUUAAUCGGAAUUACUGGGCGUAAAGCGCACGCAGGCGGUCUGUCAAGUCGGAUGUGAAAUCCCCGGGCUCAACCUGGGAACUGCAUCCGAAACUGGCAGGCUAGAGUCUUGUAGAGGGGGGUAGAAUUCCAGGUGUAGCGGUGAAAUGCGUAGAGAUCUGGAGGAAUACCGGUGGCGAAGGCGGCCCCCUGGACAAAGACUGACGCUCAGGUGCGAAAGCGUGGGGAGCAAACA